RNAcentral lists this transfer RNA (71 nucleotides) under marine eukaryotic metagenome. It matches the Rfam family "tRNA". From Rfam's summary of the family: Transfer RNA (tRNA) molecules are approximately 80 nucleotides in length. Their secondary structure includes four short double-helical elements and three loops (D, anti-codon, and T loops). The record is from RNAcentral.
GGGCUAUAGCUCAGCUGGGAGAGCAUCUGCUUUGCAAGCAGGAGGUCGUCGGUUCGAUCCCGACUAGCUCC